CAGUAGCCGCGGUAAUACGUAGGGGGCAAGCGUUAUCCGGAAUUACUGGGUGUAAAGGGAGCGUAGACGGUUAAACAAGUCUGAAGUGAAAUGCCGGGGCUCAACCCCGGAGCUGCUUUGGGAACUGUAGAACUGGAGUGUCGGAGGGGUAAGCGGAAUUCCCAGUGUAGCGGUGAAAUGCGUAGAUAUUGUGAGGAACACCGGCGGCGAAGGCGGCUUACUGGACGACAACUGACGUUGAGGCUCGAAGGCGUGGGUAGCAAACAGGAUUAGAUACCCGCGUAGUCCCUGUCUCUUAUAC
Molecule: ribosomal RNA, 301 nt
Filed under: uncultured bacterium
Lineage: Bacteria
Description: partial 16S ribosomal RNA
Rfam family: Bacterial small subunit ribosomal RNA
Source: RNAcentral